AUGGGAACCCCAUCCCCAUCUUGUUUCUCACAGAGCAGCAGUAGAUCACAAAGGGGAGACCGUAGGAUUGUAUGGACAACUUUGACUGGGAGAAAGAAUAAUGUGAAAACUGCUGGUACAGUUCUACAUCUAACAUGCUGCAAAAAAGUGGCAAGGAAAGAGUUGAGGAAGUCAUCUUCAGCUGAGAACAUCUAUCAUUUUCUGUCUUUGCCUUUGGGUUUCUGUGGAUUUCUGUGGAUUUCCUAAAGGAUGCCACAAAAUGCAACCAGAAGAAAAUCAGCCCUGAGACUGAAUUCUGCUUUACUCCACAGCCCAGAUAGCUAAAUACUAAAAUAGACUUCAUGGUAUUUCUCUGCUAAGGGAUCUAGAGCCAUCAUGAAAUCUGUAAAUAUAUGAGUUCUGUGAUUUCAAUUCUGCUAGUGUUGGACACAGGAAAACAAAACAAACAAUACAUCUGUAGCAUACCUUAUGGAAACGGAAAAAAUUCUUCUUAUUUUAUCAACUAGACUUUAUUUUUGUGUUGAUUCCUGGGUCAUCAAAUUUCAGCAUAAACUGAGACUGAGAAAUACAGUGUGUUUUAAACUACUUGGAAAUUAAAAUUGUUUUAGACUAAUGCCAAAUAUAAAAUUUUCUCCAUAAAGCUGCCUUAAAGAUUUCCAGUAAAUCAUUCAAGCAAAAUAAUAUGUAUUUAUGUUUUUAAAUAAGAGUUUUGAAACCACCUCAUGCAAGAACAAAUACACAAGACAAUUUACAGUACUGUAUCUAUUCUUCAUGGUUCUUUUGUGCUAUGGAUAUGGAGAUACUUCUUUUCAGAACAUUCUCCUCAGAGAUAUUUUUGACUCCUGCACCAAAACACAACUUUUAGCACUUAUAUAAAGCCAAUAAUAAUACUGAAAGCUGAAAGUGCUACUGAAGCCCAGGAAGAGAGAGUGUUAUGGUUGGAGGCAUGGUUUGCAUGUCAACAGGUGCUGUGUUGCUGCUACACCCUAGGAAGAUAUUUAUUAAUAGCACCAAAGGUUUGGUUUGCAAACAACACACUAUGGGAAGUUGAGACUUCAAAAGUGUGUGUUGUAAAAUCAGGGUCUUAGCGCUGUAAUGAUGCCCAUGAAAGACGAAAUUGUUUGCUAACAUGGGUGCUGAUUUUCUACCAAGGAUUCUGAAGUAACAGGCUCGUUACUUGCAGCAGACUUGACAAAUCUGUUCCUGCUAGCUUCUUGAUCAAGAUCUUAUGUAUAACAAAUAUGAAAGCCUGGGCUGGAGAGAGGCCAAAAGAGGACUUGUGUGAUUCAUACUUCUGCAACCUAUCAGAACUGCUAUAAUUUCUGCCUCUUCCCACACUCUUCUUAAAUCCAUUUUUCCUUAUGGAGAUCCCUUAUUUUAAAACAGUUUAUUAAAUCAAGGCUAAGGAUAUCCAGAUUUCUUAGACUUAGAAACUGCACAACACUAUUUCUAAUACAUUUUUAAAGUAGUUUUUUUUAUAGAGGAUCGAGUAUUGCAGUUAUAAGUAUUAUUUUAGAAAAUCUUUUUUCACAACUCAGAUAAAACUGUGCUAUAUAUUCAGUUAUUUAAAUAAAAAUUUAUUACACAAAUG
This is a long non-coding RNA of Coturnix japonica (Japanese quail), 1591 nucleotides long. The record is from Ensembl. Lineage: Eukaryota; Metazoa; Chordata; Aves; Galliformes; Phasianidae.